RNAcentral lists this ribosomal RNA (433 nucleotides) under uncultured bacterium. RNAcentral's name for it is "partial 16S ribosomal RNA". It matches the Rfam family "Bacterial small subunit ribosomal RNA", at positions 29 to 507 of the family's 1533-position model. The record is from RNAcentral.
AGCGAACGCUGGCGGCAGGCCUAACACAUGCAAGUCGAACGAACUCUUCGGAGUUAGUGGCGGACGGGUGAGUAACACGUGGGAACGUGCCUUUAGGUUCGGAAUAACUCAGGGAAACUUGUGCUAAUACCGAAUGUGCCCUUCGGGGGAAAGAUUUAUCGCCUUUAGAGCGGCCCGCGUCUGAUUAGCUAGUUGGUGAGGUAAAGGCUCACCAAGGCGACGAUCAGUAGCUGGUCUGAGAGGAUGAUCAGCCACAUUGGGACUGAGACACGGCCCAAACUCCUACGGGAGGCAGCAGGGGGGAAUCUUGCGCAAUGGGCGAAAGACUGACGCAGCCAUGCCGCGUGAAUGAUGAAGGUCUUAGGAUUGUAAAAUUCUUUAACAGGGGACGAUAAUGACGGUACCCGGAGAAGAAGCCCCGGCUAACUUCGUG